This 455-nucleotide ribosomal RNA is filed under the name uncultured bacterium. RNAcentral's name for it is "SSU rRNA". It matches the Rfam family "Bacterial small subunit ribosomal RNA", at positions 26 to 518 of the family's 1533-position model. The record is from RNAcentral.
AGGAUAAACGCUGGCGGCGUGCCUAACACAUGCAAGUCGAACGCCUUACGCAAGUAAGGAGUGGCGGACGGGUGAGGAACACGUGGGGAUCUGCCCAAAGGUGAGGAAUACCGGCGAGAAAUCGCCGACAAAUACCGCAUAGCCUUGUUUCGGCAAGGAAAGUCGCAAGACGCCUAUGGAUGAACCUGCGUCCGAUUAGUUUGUUGGUGGGGUAAUGGCCUACCAAGACAACGAUCGGUAGCUGGUCUGAGAGGACGAUCAGCCACACUGGGAUUGAGAACGGCCCAGACUCCUACGGGGGGCAGCAGUGAGGAAUUUUCGUCAAUGGGGGCAACCCUGAACGAGCAACGCCGCGUGCAGGAAGAAGGUUUUCGGAUCGUAAACUGCUUUUCUGUGGGAAGAGAACGGACGGUACCACAGGAAGAAGCCCCGGCUAACUACGUGCCAGCAGCCGC